ACUCCUACGGGAGGCAGCAGUAGGGAAUAUUGGACAAUGGUCGGAAGACUGAUCCAGCCAUGCCGCGUGCAGGAGGAAGGCCCUCUGGGUUGUAAACUGCUUUUGGACGGGAAUAAACCACCCGAUGCGUUGGGUGCUGCAGGUACCGUCAGAAUAAGCACCGGCUAACUCCGUGCCAGCAGCCGCGGUAAU
Molecule: ribosomal RNA, 192 nt
Filed under: uncultured bacterium
Lineage: Bacteria
Description: partial 16S ribosomal RNA
Rfam family: Bacterial small subunit ribosomal RNA
Source: RNAcentral